GACGUAGGGCGCGAGCGUUGUCCGGAUUUAUUGGGCGUAAAGAGCUCGUAGGCGGCUUGUUGCGUCGACUGUGAAAACCUGCGGCUCAACCGUGUGGUCUGCAGUCGAUACGGGCAGGCUGGAGUUCGGUAGGGGAGACUGGAAUUCCUGGUGUAGCGGUGAAAUGCGCAGAUAUCAGGAGGAACACCGGUGGCGAAGGUGGGUCUCUGGGCCGAUACUGACGCUGAGGAGCGAAAGCGUGGGGAGCGAACAGG
Molecule: ribosomal RNA, 254 nt
Filed under: uncultured bacterium
Lineage: Bacteria
Description: partial 16S ribosomal RNA
Rfam family: Bacterial small subunit ribosomal RNA
Source: RNAcentral